GAUAAUCCAUGGUAGUGAGUUAUCUCAAUUGAUUGUUCAGUCAGUUACAGAUUGAACUCUUUUCUACUCUUUUUCCAUGCUCACUACUUCACUGGACUAGUCUUAA
Gorilla gorilla gorilla (western lowland gorilla) is the source of this 106-nucleotide non-coding RNA. It matches the Rfam family "Y RNA". From Rfam's summary of the family: Y RNAs are components of the Ro ribonucleoprotein particle (Ro RNP), in association with Ro60 and La proteins. Lineage: Eukaryota; Metazoa; Chordata; Mammalia; Primates; Hominidae. The record is from Rfam.